Non-coding RNA from Populus trichocarpa (black cottonwood), 156 nucleotides. NCBI's taxonomy places the organism in Eukaryota, Viridiplantae, Streptophyta, Magnoliopsida, Malpighiales, Salicaceae. The record is from Rfam.
UUUAGAACUCGAGAUAUGGGCUGAACACUGAAGAGUGUCUGGGCUGCAGGACAGAUUCUGAAUUCUCUUUUGUUGCUACUAUUUGAACUUGAAAACGACCGUUUUGAAUCUUGGACUCUUCAUGAAAGUUUUAGGCCUAUGUCUUAGCUUUCCAUC